Molecule: ribosomal RNA, 253 nt
Filed under: uncultured bacterium
Lineage: Bacteria
Description: partial 16S ribosomal RNA
Rfam family: Bacterial small subunit ribosomal RNA
Source: RNAcentral
UACAGAGGGGGCAAGCGUUGUUCGGAAUCACUGGGCGUAAAGGGCGUGUAGGCGGUUCGGUAAGUGGAAUGUGAAAUCCCUCGGCUCACCCGAGGACCUGCAUUCCAAACUACCGAGCUUGAGUAUGGGAGAGGAAGGUGGAAUGCUUGGUGUAGAGGUGAAAUUCGUAGAUAUCAAGCGGAACACCGGUGGCGAAGGCGGCCUUCUGGACAGUGACUGACGCUGAGACGCGAAAGCGUGGGGAGCAAACAGG